Molecule: ribosomal RNA, 431 nt
Filed under: uncultured bacterium
Lineage: Bacteria
Description: partial 16S ribosomal RNA
Rfam family: Bacterial small subunit ribosomal RNA
Source: RNAcentral
AACGAACGCUGGCGGCAUGCCUAACACAUGCAAGUCGAACGAGACCUUCGGGUCUAGUGGCUCACGGGUGCGUAACGCGUGGGAACCUUCCCUUAGGUUCGGAAUAACUCCCCUAAAGGGGUGCUAAUACCGGAUAAUUUCUUCUGACCAAAGAUUUAUCGCCUUUGUGUGGGCCCGCGUUGGAUUAGCUAUGUGGUAGGGUAAAAGCCUACCAAGGCGACGAUCCAUAGCUGGUCUGAGAGGAUGAUCAGCCACCCUGGGACUGAGACACGGCCCAGACUCCUACGAGAGGCAGAAGUGGGGAAUAUUGGACCCGGGGCGAAAGACUGAUCCAGCAAUGCCGCGUGAGUGAUGAAGGGCAUAGGGUUGUAAAGCUCUUUUACCCGGGAUGAUAAUGACAGUACAGAGAGAAUAAGCUCCGGCUAACCCCG